AGCGAACGCUGGCGGCAGGCCUAACACAUGCAAGUCGAACGAACCUUUCGGGGUUAGUGGCGGACGGGUGUGUAACACGUGGGAACGUGCCUUUAGGUUCGGAAUAACUCAGGGAAACUUGUGCUAAUACCGAAUGUGCCCUUCGGGGGAAAGAUUAAUCGCCUUUAGAGCGGCCCGCGUCUGAUUAGCUAGUUGCUUGAGGUAAUGGCUCACCAAGGCGACGAUCAGUAGCUGGUCUGAGAGGAUGAUCAGCCACAUUGGGACUGAGACACAGCCCAAACUCCUACGGAAGGCAGCAGUGGGGAAUCUUGCGCAAUGGGCGAAAGCCUGACGAAGCCAUGCCGCGUGAAUGAUGAAGGUCUUAGGAUUGUAAAAUUCUUUCACCAGGGACGAUAAUGACGGUACCCGGAGAAGAAGCCCCGGCUAACUACGUG
Molecule: ribosomal RNA, 434 nt
Filed under: uncultured bacterium
Lineage: Bacteria
Description: partial 16S ribosomal RNA
Rfam family: Bacterial small subunit ribosomal RNA
Source: RNAcentral